AGCGAACGCUGGCGGCAGGCCUAACACAUGCAAGUCGAACGAACCUUUCGGGGUUAGUGGCGGACGGGUGAGUAACACGGUGGAACGUGCCUUUAGGUUCGGAAUAACGCAGGGGAACUUGUGCUAAUACCGAAUGUGCCCUUCGGUGGAAAGAUUUAUCGCCUAUAGAGCGUCCCGCGUCUGAUUGGCUAGUUGGUUGAGUUAAUGGCUCACCAAGGCGACGAUCAUUAGCUGGUCUGAGAGGCUGAUCAGACACAUUGGGACUGAGACACGGCCCAAACUCGUACGGGAGGCAGCAGUGGGGAAUAUUGAGCAAUGGGCGAAAGACUGACGCAGCCAUGCCGAGUGAACGAUGAAGGUGUUAGGAUUGUAAAAUUCUUUCACCGGGGAGGAUAAUGACGGUACCCGGAGAAGAAGCCCCGGAUAACUUCG
Molecule: ribosomal RNA, 432 nt
Filed under: uncultured bacterium
Lineage: Bacteria
Description: partial 16S ribosomal RNA
Rfam family: Bacterial small subunit ribosomal RNA
Source: RNAcentral